This 1800-nucleotide long non-coding RNA is filed under the name Homo sapiens (human). RNAcentral's name for it is "HSALNT0128192". Lineage: Eukaryota; Metazoa; Chordata; Mammalia; Primates; Hominidae. The record is from RNAcentral.
CAUUCACAAUUAAGCACGCACGAAGUGAGAGGGAAAUUGCUUUUAAAUGACAAAUGUCUUCAAAUAUUAGAAAAAUGCAUUUAACUGAUGGAAAAAAAUUCCUACUCAAUUUCUGUGCUGCUGAAUAUCUGAUAUUUCAUAUCUGGAAAAUAGGCUUUAUGGGAAACAAAAAGGUACAUCUAUUUUGGUGACAGAGGAGAGAGGAAGAAUUAGAGAUAUGAAGAAAGGGAGCCAAUUUGUAACUUUUACUCUUUCCUUUAUAAUGAUAAAAAAUAAAGAGAGAGAAAGGAAUUUCCAGAAUAUCUUCUUGGAAUAAUAAAACAAAAUGUCAAAUUUUCCCAAGUUCUUCAUGCUGCUCUCCGAAAAACAAUUUCUUUACUGCAAUACCCUAUCUGGAAAUAGUGUCCUCGAAAACAUGCAAUUCUCCAAAAACACUUCUUAAGGUUUUUCAAAAUUCUUAUUGCAUCUUUAAGCUUGCUCUGUGUUGCGCCUGAAUUGUUAAUUGACUAACUAGACGGAGGGCCCAAACUAUGUCAGCUGUUCUCAAUCCUGGCUGCAUAUUGGAAUCACCUGCAGAGGCUUUAGAACCUGUUGGAUCCCGCCUCCAGAGAUUCUGACUUGACUUGAUUAGCUGAAGGCCCAGGCACUGGGAGUUUUAUAAAGCUCCCCAGGUGACUGUAUUAACUGCCCAUCUCCGUCCUCCCUCUGCACAGCUGGGCCUGAGCUGCACCCUUAAACCAUCUGUGCUUGGUGGCCUGGAAUCUAGAAAGCGCGGUGCCUACCUGCAAUGGAGGUUUGGUGUUAAGGACGAGAUUUAUAUGACAAAGAUAUUUCUGGCAAGACGUGGAGAGAAAGAGUCCCUUCAAUGAAAAAAUGCAAGACUGUUCUGACUGCUUUUUCAGAACAGAAAUAUAUCCACCAACUUCUGUAUGAAGUCACCAAGAAUACCGCAACCAGCAAAGAACUCCUCUCUAAAAACGUGGCUCAUCCCCUCGAAAGAGAGAAGAUAAAGUGGUGACUAAAUACUGCGUCUUCAACUGAUAGAUCCAGGUGAACACACUGGGAUUCAUCACGGAAAGAACUCAACCCAUGGAGAAUGAAGAGGAGCAAGACAGGAAAAUCACCCAUCUGGGAAUGGCAUGGAGCCAGGGGAGGCUCCCCAACCAUGGGGAAAUGGUGCUCACCAUUGGCCAGCCCCACCAAAAGCCAAACUAUAAGGAGGCAUCCAGCCAAACAGCCUCUUCAGUCUUGGAACAGCUUGGAAAAUGAAUCUGGAAGGACAAAUAGGUGAUCUACAGCAUAAUCUCCAUUAUAGUGUACUUUCUCUUCAUCCGGUUGAUUUGGUUUGGAUCUGUGUCCCCACCCAAAUCUCAUGUUGAACUGUAAUCUCCAGUGUUGGAGGUGGGGCCUCGUGGGAGGUGUUUGGAUCAUGAAGGCAGAUUCCUUAUGAAUGAUUUGGGCCAUCCCUUUGGUGAUGAGUGAGCUCUUGCUCUGAGUUGACAGGAGAUCUGGUCAUUCAAAAGUGUGUGACAUGCUCCCUGCCUCCACCUGCUCUUGCUCAUGCUUUUGCCAUGUGACUUGCCUGCCCCUUGUUCGCCUUCUGCCAUGAUUGUAAGCUUCCAGAAGCCUCCCUGGAAGCUGAGUAGUUGCCAGCACCAUGCUUCCUGUAAAGUCUGAAGAACUGUGAAUGAAUUAAACUUCUUUUCUUUAUAAAUUACUUUAUAAAUGGUAAAGGUAUUUCUUUACAGUAAUGCAAGAAUGCCCUAAUACACAGGUCCGAGAUCAAAGGAUAAAAAAUUA